AGUGAACGCUGGCGGCAGGCCUAACACAUGCAAGUCGAGCGGAUGAAGUAGCUUGCUACUGAUUCAGCGGCGGACGGGUGAGUAAUGCCUAGGAAUCUGCCUGGUAGUGGGGGGACAACGUUUCGAAAGGAACGCUAAUACCGCAUACGUCCUACGGGAGAAAGUGGGGGACCCUCGGGCCUCACGCUAUCAGAUGAGCCUAGGUCGGAUUAGCUAGUUGGUGGGGGUAAUGGCUCACUAAGGCGACGAUCCGUAACUGGUCUGAGAGGAUGAUCAGUCACACUGGAACUGAGACACGGUCCAGACUCCUACGGGAGGCAGCAGUGGGGAAUAUUGGACAAUGGGCGAAAGCCUGAUCCAGCCAUGCCGCGUGUGUGAAGAAGGUCUUCGGAUUGUAAAGCACUUUAAGUUGGGAGGAAGGGUCGUAACCUAAUACGUUGCGAUUUUGACGUUACCAACAGAAUAAGCACCGGCUAACUUCGUGCCAGCAGCCG
RNAcentral lists this ribosomal RNA (494 nucleotides) under uncultured bacterium. Its description in RNAcentral is "bacterial SSU rRNA". It matches the Rfam family "Bacterial small subunit ribosomal RNA", at positions 29 to 517 of the family's 1533-position model. The record is from RNAcentral.